UACGGAGGGGGCUAGCGUUGUUCGGAAUUACUGGGCGUAAAGCGCACGUAGGCGGCUUUGUAAGUUAGAGGUGAAAGCCCAGAGCUCAACUCUGGAAUUGCCUUUAAGACUGCAUAGCUUGAACAUCGGAGAGGUGAGUGGAAUUCCGAGUGUAGAGGUGAAAUUCGUAGAUAUUCGGAAGAACACCAGUGGCGAAGGCGACUCACUGGACGAUUGUUGACGCUGAGGUGCGAAAGCGUGGGGAGCAAACAGG
Molecule: ribosomal RNA, 253 nt
Filed under: uncultured bacterium
Lineage: Bacteria
Description: partial 16S ribosomal RNA
Rfam family: Bacterial small subunit ribosomal RNA
Source: RNAcentral